Molecule: ribosomal RNA, 1295 nt
Filed under: Chryseobacterium sp. 78E
Lineage: Bacteria; Pseudomonadati; Bacteroidota; Flavobacteriia; Flavobacteriales; Weeksellaceae
Description: bacterial SSU rRNA
Rfam family: Bacterial small subunit ribosomal RNA
Source: RNAcentral
GUGCAACCUGCCUUUAUCAGGGGGAUAGCCUUUCGAAAGGAAGAUUAAUACCCCAUAAUAUUUAGAAUGGCAUCAUUUUAAAUUGAAAACUCCGGUGGAUAGAGAUGGGCACGCGCAAGAUUAGAUAGUUGGUGAGGUAACGGCUCACCAAGUCUACGAUCUUUAGGGGGCCUGAGAGGGUGAUCCCCCACACUGGUACUGAGACACGGACCAGACUCCUACGGGAGGCAGCAGUGAGGAAUAUUGGACAAUGGGUGCGAGCCUGAUCCAGCCAUCCCGCGUGAAGGACGACGGCCCUAUGGGUUGUAAACUUCUUUUGUAUAGGGAUAAACCUAGAUACGUGUAUCUAGCUGAAGGUACUAUACGAAUAAGCACCGGCUAACUCCGUGCCAGCAGCCGCGGUAAUACGGAGGGUGCAAGCGUUAUCCGGAUUUAUUGGGUUUAAAGGGUCCGUAGGCGGAUCUGUAAGUCAGUGGUGAAAUCUCACAGCUUAACUGUGAAACUGCCAUUGAUACUGCAGGUCUUGAGUGUUGUUGAAGUAGCUGGAAUAAGUAGUGUAGCGGUGAAAUGCAUAGAUAUUACUUAGAACACCAAUUGCGAAGGCAGGUUACUAAGCAACAACUGACGCUGAUGGACGAAAGCGUGGGGAGCGAACAGGAUUAGAUACCCUGGUAGUCCACGCCGUAAACGAUGCUAACUCGUUUUUGGUAUUUCGGUAUCAGAGACUAAGCGAAAGUGAUAAGUUAGCCACCUGGGGAGUACGAACGCAAGUUUGAAACUCAAAGGAAUUGACGGGGGCCCGCACAAGCGGUGGAUUAUGUGGUUUAAUUCGAUGAUACGCGAGGAACCUUACCAAGGCUUAAAUGGGAAAUGACAGGUUUAGAAAUAGACUUUUCUUCGGACAUUUUUCAAGGUGCUGCAUGGUUGUCGUCAGCUCGUGCCGUGAGGUGUUAGGUUAAGUCCUGCAACGAGCGCAACCCCUGUCACUAGUUGCCAUCAUUAAGUUGGGGACUCUAGUGAGACUGCCUACGCAAGUAGAGAGGAAGGUGGGGAUGACGUCAAAUCAUCACGGCCCUUACGCCUUGGGCCACACACGUAAUACAAUGGCCGGUACAGAGGGCAGCUACACUGCGAAGUGAUGCAAAUCUCGAAAGCCGGUCUCAGUUCGGAUUGGAGUCUGCAACUCGACUCUAUGAAGCUGGAAUCGCUAGUAAUCGCGCAUCAGCCAUGGCGCGGUGAAUACGUUCCCGGGCCUUGUACACACCGCCCGUCAAGCCAUGGAAGUCUGGGGUACC